This 1288-nucleotide long non-coding RNA is filed under the name Anas platyrhynchos platyrhynchos (common mallard). RNAcentral describes it as "lncRNA (ENSAPLG00000017940.1)". The record is from RNAcentral. Lineage: Eukaryota; Metazoa; Chordata; Aves; Anseriformes; Anatidae.
AUGUGGUUCAGCACAGAAAAGUCAAAAUCUGGUGCAGAUCUGCGAUGUGACGAAAUAAUGGAAACCAUUCCAACUGAGAACCCUCACUCAAUGCCUGCUUUUAUCAGCUCAGCAAAGGAACAUACCCUGCUGCAUGAGGACACCCUCCUCCCCCUCUACAGUGGAAAUAAAAAUCAUGAUGUGGUUGGCAUGGGAUUAUAUAUUAAUGUCACUAUUGUAUUCUAUUUUUUUUUCUAUUGUAUUUUAAUUUUCAUCUGUUCCAAACUUACAGCAUUACAUGUAGUGUAAUGCAGUAAGUUUGUAAUGUUACUUAAUGUAAUGUAUCAUAUUACAAAAUUUGUGACAAGAUCUGACACUGAGACAGUGUUUUCCCACAUGUAUUUUCUUGUGGCUCAUUUUUACUCUGAAAACCCGCUUCAUCUAAAAGACCAAACACUUUGUCCAAUCACAGCUAGUGACAUAAGGUCUGAGUCAGAAACUCUUUAGUUAUCAGCAUUCUCCUGUGAGUCUUGUGUUCCUUCAGGUCUGGAUCAGGCAAAGGCCUAAACACACUCAGUUUUGGAGGCUGCAGGGACACUGGCUCUCCCUUGCUCUCUGCAAACUACCUUCCUUUCUUUCAGCAGUUUGUCUGUUUUUGGCUUGAUGCAUUAAGUGCACUUACAGAAAUGCAGAGGGCUGCAGAUGUGCAGAGGAAAACUAUUCUGAGGGAAUGCUAUCCUGACAGAUAUCCUGACAAAGCCAGGUAGGCAGCUCCUCCACACUGCCAGCACAAGGGCCUCCUGGGCUCUCUGCUUACCCCAGUGUCUCUAUGCAGCCACAGGGUGGACAGGCAUCUCCAGAGCUGUGUCAGCAUAUUGCAGACCUGCCAUGCCCUCCACCAGUGCCUGUCUUGCUCUCAGAAAGCUCGGCAGCUGUGCUCUUUCAUCAGGCUUCUUGGCUAACAGAUAUAGUGGACCUGGGUAUCUCUAGGGGCUUAAACUAGGCACUUAGGUACUUUAGUCUUGCUAAGCUUAUGUGGUGGUAAGCUAGGGAUUUGAAGAUCAAAAGUUGAGAGUUAGACAGGAUUUAGGUAUUCAAGUCUUCUCUGGAUUGAGCCCUUUGUCUAACCUUUUUGGCUAACAUCAUUUACUGCUCAAGAAUAGGCAUCUCAAUAUUCUGUAGUCUGCAGUGGCACCCACAAAUUAGAAAUGGAAAAUACAUGAAAAGAAAUUAUUCCUAAAUACAUGUAUUAUACAUAGAAAUUAUGUGUAUACGUGUGUUUGAGCACCUUGAACAAAAUGAUUGAUUU